This 586-nucleotide long non-coding RNA is filed under the name Rattus norvegicus (Norway rat). RNAcentral's name for it is "long non-coding RNA NONRATT027273". Lineage: Eukaryota; Metazoa; Chordata; Mammalia; Rodentia; Muridae. The record is from RNAcentral.
AAGGUCGUGAGAGCUGGAGGAAGAGGCAGAGUGCUGUGCGGCGGCCAUGGCACGGAUCUUAUAUUCAGGAACUCACCGCAGCUGCUCUUACCUAUAUUAGAUCUGCGCUGGGCUGACUGGGUAGGUCAACAUUCCAUCUGAAGGCGUGAGGCACUCACGGCCUCCCUCCAUUCCCAGGGUGUCUAGGCAGAUCACAAAAGCCUCCAACCGUCUUUAAGGAGCAGUGGACAGCUAAUGGUUAUCAGAGGGUGGCAGUUUCUUCAGUGGUGUUCACUGGUAAGUCCUUGAAGUGACCCCACACCCAUACUCAUGUAAGCAUGAUAAAUAAACUCUUUGGGUUACUAAUUCCCCCCUCAAAAGACAUGGAUGUUAAAUGGUGAAUGAUUAGAAAAAGAAAGUGAUCCACGGAAGUAGGAGAAGGCAAGAAACGACGGGGUGACAGGGGACAAAAUACAAUGUGUUCAUGUAGAAAAUGUCCUAAUGAAACCGAGGAUGUGUGAUUAACGUAUGCUAGUAAAAACUUAGAAAAGAAAUACAAAGAUAAAAAUCAUAGCAGGGUCAAAAAAAAAUAAAAUAGAAAAACAAA